GUAGGUGGCGAGCGUUAUCCGGAUUUACUGGGCGUAAAGCGCGCGCAGGCGGCUGGCCAAGUCCGAUGUGAAAGCUUCCGGCUUAACUGGAAAACGGCAUCGGAUACUGGUCGGCUGGAAGGUGGGAGAGGGUAGCGGAAUUCCCGGUGUAGUGGUGAAAUGCGUAGAUAUCGGGAGGAACACCAGUGGCGAAAGCGGCUACCUGGCCCACUCUUGACGCUGAGGCGCGAAAGCUAGGGGAGCAAACGGGAUUAGAUACCCCGGUAGUCCUAGCCGUAAACGAUGAACACUAGGCGUUGUCGGUAUCGACCCCGGCAGUGCCGUAGCUAACGCAUUAAGUGUUCCGCCUGGGGAGUACGGCCGCAAGGCUA
RNAcentral lists this ribosomal RNA (371 nucleotides) under uncultured bacterium. Its description in RNAcentral is "bacterial SSU rRNA". It matches the Rfam family "Bacterial small subunit ribosomal RNA", at positions 527 to 896 of the family's 1533-position model. The record is from RNAcentral.